CAAUGUGUCUGUAAGCCUUCAUGAGGGAUCAAUGGAUCAACAUGGUUAUGAUCAAUGUGCAGGUCAGUAUUCUCAUUCUAAAUCUAUGCAGAAAUGGGCUACUAAAGAUGUAGGUCAGGCUCUAGUAUCUAACAGUCAACUGGAGCAACUCAGUGGAAAUGCAACAUUCACUAAGGAACAAUAUGAGAAAAUCUUGCAAAUGAUCAACAAAAGCAACUUAGGCAACACG
Molecule: long non-coding RNA, 229 nt
Filed under: Capsicum annuum
Lineage: Eukaryota; Viridiplantae; Streptophyta; Magnoliopsida; Solanales; Solanaceae
Description: long non-coding RNA (CANN_LNC013446)
Source: RNAcentral